AUGCCAUUCUUCCAUGGUCGACAUGAGAUUGUGCUCGGGUUAGGAUCCGCGCUUCUCUACCUACAUCAGGAGUGGGAGCAGUGCAUCCUGCAUAGGGACGUCAAGCCAAGCAACAUCAUGCUGGAUGCGUCCUUCAACACCAAGCUCGGCGACUUCGGUCUCGCCAGGCUGGUCAAACACAGCCGAGGUUCGCUCACCACGGCACACACCUGCACAAUGGGAUACAUGGAUCCAGAAUGCAUGAUCACUGGCAGGGCCAACGCCGAGUCAGAUAUUUACAGCUUCGGCGUUGUCCUCUUGGAGAUCGCCUGCGGCAGACGGCCCAUGGUGGUGGUUCAACAACAAGAAGAAGAUGAUGAUGAUGAAGAUGUGGUCCACCUGGCUCAGUGGGUCUGGAGCUCGUAUGGAAGAGGGAAGAUUCUGGACGUCACCGACACACGGCUGGGAGAAGAAUUCGAUGCUCGGGAGAUGGAGUGUGUGCUGAUCGUUGGGCUUUGGUGUGCUCAGCUCGAUUUGAAGCUGAGACUGUCUGUCAUGCAUGCUCUCAACGUGCUGCGGUUUGAGGCGCCCCUGCCUCCCCUCCCCUCAAGGAUGCCGGCUGCAAGCUACAUGCCACCAAUUAGUGGUACAGGGAGCUGCACAUCUUCAUCGACGGUAACACGCCACAUCAACGACAUCAUGUGUACAUCUUUGGUGGCAGCAACGGCGUGGCUGCCACUCAGUCGAGCUUGA
Molecule: ribosomal RNA, 732 nt
Filed under: Triticum aestivum (bread wheat)
Lineage: Eukaryota; Viridiplantae; Streptophyta; Magnoliopsida; Poales; Poaceae
Description: partial small subunit ribosomal RNA
Source: RNAcentral